Molecule: non-coding RNA, 22 nt
Filed under: Arabidopsis thaliana (thale cress)
Lineage: Eukaryota; Viridiplantae; Streptophyta; Magnoliopsida; Brassicales; Brassicaceae
Source: RNAcentral
GAGCAGAGAGUCUCACAUGUCC